CGAUUUUGCCCCUGCCUUUUGUCUCUUGCCUCGACACCUGCCGUACUGCUCUAUGGAGUUUUGACAGACAGAGAGAGCGAAGAGAGCAGAGGAAGAAGGGAAAGAAGACAGAAAAGGGAAGGGGUUUAGGGUUGUGAUAUUGGGUUUGUCAUCAGCAAGGAGGAGGGAGGCGAUUCUGGGUUAUUGGGUUUUUGAUGUGAGGAGGAAGAGCAUCGUUCUUCAUUAAUGUGUUUUGGGCUGAGGCAGGAGAAGAGAAAUCUGGGUAAUUGGUUUUGUAGUUUUGCUUUUGUUUUCUUAAUCAAUGGUUCUUAGUUGUAACUUGCAAUAAAUUGACAAACAAAUACUACUAUAGUGCAGGAUCUCUUAAAGCAAUAGUUUGGUCUAUUAAUUCAAUCUGCAUCCAAGCUAUAUGUUGUGUUCCAUAUCCAUCUUUUUUUUUUUUUUUUACAAAAUAGUUUACAUACUGAAUUCGAUUUAUGUUAGAUUUUUGACUUACUUGAUGUCAAGCGCAAUGGGGUUAUUGAGUUUGGAGAAUUUGUUCAAUCAUUAGGUAUCUAUCACCCCAAUGCACCUGUUCGAAACAAUUGCAUCUGUGUUUAGACGGUAUGAUAUGAGAUAAACAGGGUUCAUUGAAUGAGAUAAGGUUUGUUUCACAUUGAAACAUCCUUGAUCCCACAGUCUACAAGGGAAGCCAGCAUUGAACCAGCAACAUCCUCCGUAGAGACCAUCAACUAGGAGAAAAACGAGUGAGGUGUCAUGACACUUUUGUGCGGACAGAAUUGGAGGAAGCAACUUUUUGGACAACUUCCAUAACUCCCCACCACUAGGCUAACAGCUUUUCAGCAUACACAUGCUAAUAGACAUCAUCACCUAUUUUUGGCAAGCUGGUCAAGCAGUGAUUGUAACUAAGUUAGUCUGCAACUAGAACAACCUAUUUUUUGAACACUGCCACAACAUCUACGUUAGUGGAGAAAACUAUUUUUUGCAAGCUGUUCUAGCAGCAACUGUAACUAUGUUAGCCUUAAACUAUGACAACCUUUUUUUUGAACACUAC
Molecule: long non-coding RNA, 1054 nt
Organism: Rosa chinensis
Lineage: Eukaryota; Viridiplantae; Streptophyta; Magnoliopsida; Rosales; Rosaceae
Exons: 4
Source: RefSeq, a predicted model, not a curated record